AGUGGCGCACGGGUGCGUAACGCGUGGGAACCUGCCUUUAGGUUCGGAAUAACAGUUAGAAAUGACUGCUAAUACCGGAUAAUGUCUUCGGACCAAAGAUUUAUUGCCUUUAGAUGGGCCCGCGUUGGAUUAGAUAGUUGGUGGGGUAAUGGCCUACCAAGUCGACGAUCCAUAGCUGGUCUGAGAGGAUGAUCAGCCACACUGGGACUGAGACACGGCCCAGACUCCUACGGGAGGCAGCAGUGGGGAAUAUUGGACAAUGGGCGAAAGCCUGAUCCAGCAAUGCCGCGUGAGUGAUGAAGGCCUUAGGGUUGUAAAGCUCUUUUACCAGGGAUGAUAAUGACAGUACCUGGAGAAUAAGCUCCGGCUA
Molecule: ribosomal RNA, 370 nt
Filed under: Qipengyuania seohaensis
Lineage: Bacteria; Pseudomonadati; Pseudomonadota; Alphaproteobacteria; Sphingomonadales; Erythrobacteraceae
Description: bacterial SSU rRNA
Rfam family: Bacterial small subunit ribosomal RNA
Source: RNAcentral